This 700-nucleotide ribosomal RNA is filed under the name Acheilognathus typus (zenitanago). RNAcentral describes it as "partial 12S ribosomal RNA". It matches the Rfam family "Bacterial small subunit ribosomal RNA", at positions 518 to 1521 of the family's 1533-position model. Lineage: Eukaryota; Metazoa; Chordata; Actinopteri; Cypriniformes; Acheilognathidae. The record is from RNAcentral.
CGGUUAUACGAGAGGCCCCAGUUAAUAAUAUUACGGCGUAAAGGGUGGUUAAGGGACACAAUAGAAUAAAGCCAAACAGCCCCCCGGCCGUCAUACGCUUCCGGGAACUGGAAGCCCAACUCCACGAAAGUAGCUUUAACAAAUUUGCCUGACCCCACGAAAGUUGAGGCACAAACUGGGAUUAGAUACCCCACUAUGCUCAACCAUAAACCCAGACAUUUAUAUACAAGCACAUGUCCGCCAGGGUACUACAAGCAUCAGCUUAAAACCCAAGGGGUCGUACGGUGCCUCAGACCCCCCUAGAGGAGCCUGUUCUAGAACCGAUAACCCCCGUUAAACCUCACCACUUCUAGUCAUCCCAGCCUAUAUACCGCCGUCGCCAGCUUACCCUGUGAAGGCAAUAAGAGUAAGCAAAAUGGGCACAACCCAGAACGUCAGGUCGAGGUGUAGCGCACGAGGUGGGAAGAAAUGGGCUACAUUUUCUAUUAUAGAACACUACGAAUACGCAACAUGAAAUAGUGCUUGAAGGAGGAUUUAGUAGUAAAAAGGAAAGAGAGUGUCCUUUUGAACCCGGCUCUGAGACGCGUACACACCGCCCGUCACUCUCCCCUGUCAAAAUGCAACAAUAAUAUUUAAACCCAAAGCGCAGACAAGGGGAGGCAAGUCGUAACAUGGUAAGUGUACCGGAAGGUGCACUUGG